This 449-nucleotide ribosomal RNA is filed under the name uncultured prokaryote. Its description in RNAcentral is "bacterial SSU rRNA". It matches the Rfam family "Bacterial small subunit ribosomal RNA", at positions 355 to 796 of the family's 1533-position model. The record is from RNAcentral.
UGGGGAAUUUUUCGCAAUGGGGGAAACCCUGACGAAGCAACGCCGCGUGAAGGAUGAAGGCCUUCGGGUCGUAAACUUCUGUCAACCGGGAAGAAACCAUCCAGUCGAAUAGACUGUGGUGCUGACUGUACCGGUGGAGGAAGCUCCGGCUAACUCUGUGCCAGCAGCCGCGGUAAUACAGAGGGAGCAAGCGUUGUUCGGAAUUACUGGGCGUAAAGGGCGCGUAGGCGGCCCAGCAAGUCUUGUGUGAAAUCCCCCGGCUCAACUGGGGAACUGCACAGGAAACUGCUGGGCUUGAGUUCGGGAGAGGGAAGCGGAAUUCCGGGUGUAGCGGUGAAAUGCGUAGAUAUCCGGAGGAACACCGGUGGCGAAGGCGGCUUCCUGGACCGACACUGACGCUGAGGCGCGAAAGCUAGGGUAGCAAACGGGAUUAGAUACCCCCGUAGUCC